Molecule: non-coding RNA, 912 nt
Organism: Paramuricea clavata
Lineage: Eukaryota; Metazoa; Cnidaria; Anthozoa; Malacalcyonacea; Plexauridae
Source: the annotation of a GenBank genome assembly
CAUAUCACAUAUACAUGCCAUAUCAUAUCAUAUACCACACCAUAUCACUAUACUGUUCUAUAUCAACAACCCAAUCUGAAAUUUCUAAUCUAGAUAACUGAGCCUCCCUACGCGUAUCCAAAAGUCAAAUCGAAAGACGACGAGAUUUAUCAUCAGCUGGAUGACGUCAAGGCCACUGUCGUGUGUAACCCCAAACUGGAUGACGUGGACAGUUCCCAGGCCACUGUCGUGUGUAACCCCAAACUGGAUGACGUGGACAGUUCCCAGGCCACUGUCGUGUGUAACCACAAACUGGAUGACGUGGACAGUUCCCAGGCCACUGUCGUGUGUAACCCCAUGGCAUUAGGCGAUCAGCCAUCAUAAAUUAGCAGCUCCACUAUCAAAGUACUUGGUGUUAUUUUCCCUGGUGUUCUUUUCCAGGACGUUGGUUUAAGAUUUACUUUGAACGUCACCCGACUUCAGUCCUGAAAUAAGCUGUCGUGGUUUGUGUCUGAACAAUACCUGAAAAUAUCUCAAACGUUGUGGUUCAGUAUUCUACAAUAAGCUGCUGUGGUUUGUGUCUGAACUACGUGAAAAAGAUAUCUCAAACGUGGUUGUCCAGUGUAGGUUGUCCAGUGUCUACUGUAUAAUAAGCUGUCGUGGUUUAUGCCUCGUAAAAAUGACCAGUUCUUUUAAGAACAAUAGAGACGGCGAUGUCCUGUGAUUCAGGAAUAUUUGACAAUUAUUCACGGAAGUGGAGGUUAAUAAUGCAAGGUAUCCGGAGCUCAACAACCAAUCAAAUUGCUUGAAAAACACUACCCACCUUCUGAGUAUAGACUGCAGGAUAUUAAUGAUAUUUGUUGUAAUAGAACUUUAUGAUACAUGUAAUAAACGACAAGACGUAUUGCAGUGGAAAUAUCUUCUGUGUUCUUU